UUAUAAGAUCAUCGGGACGAUGAUCAGUGGUGGGGGCGGUGAAUGUAAUGGCUACAAACACUAUAGUAUUUAUGGUAGUCCUGUUUGGUAGGGUGAGUACGGUAGUUUCUAGCCUACGUGUCCUUUAUGAAUGGGAUGGCAUUAGCUUUGGAGUAAUGGCAGGUGCAUGCUGAUUGCCAGAUGAGUGGUGGUGAUUUCUUGCUUGGAGACUGCAAUGAUGGUUUGUGCCAGCUUGGGAAAACAGUUGUCGUAGCUGUUGUUAGAUGGCAAUGAUGGUUUGUGCCAGAGUUGGAAAACUCUUGUCUAGCUGGUACUAGGAGCUGGCCUGUGUCACUGUUUUGAAUUACUGUUUUGGUCUGGUGUAAAGUAUUGCACAUUUACACGUGAGAUAUUGGGGGUUGUUGAUCCCUUAUGGUAUCAACUUGCUACCACCUAAGCCUAUUUGUGUUUUAGAACUUUUGAUGAGUUGUUAAUAAAUUUCUGUUACCUG
This is a long non-coding RNA of Cyprinus carpio (common carp), 490 nucleotides long. RefSeq lists it as uncharacterized. The transcript has 3 exons. The record is from RefSeq and is a predicted model, not a curated record. Lineage: Eukaryota; Metazoa; Chordata; Actinopteri; Cypriniformes; Cyprinidae.